AAAGAAAAAAAAAAUAAACCUCUCUCUCUCUGCCGAAACUAGCAACCAAAAUAGAGCAUUCCUUCUCCAAGCUUGUUCUCGCUCCACAGGCCUUCGAUCGACCCCAGACCACGUUCCACAGCUUCACCUUGAUCUUGCGCAGCUGCAGGAGGCAGCCUUGCGCCGCAGAACGGUCGGAAACGGCGGCGGAAGUCCGGUUAGUUUUAAGCCCGUUUUAGUUCCAAGCUCGAUAACUCGUGCUUCCGGCCACCGAUCCUUGCCAAACUGCAUCCUCGUGCUUCCCUCAACCUCCUGAAGCCCCCAGAAGCAGCCUUGCACGGCGGCGCAUCCCGUAGCAGCAACUACAAGUCAACCCCGCCAAGAACGAGACCGGAACUAUCGAUCCAAAUAUCUUGAGCUACAGGACGUCGUUUUGAGUGAUUCUUGAACCAGUGAGUUCUUCUUGAGUUUCUUAACAACUCUUCAGAAGGAAUCGAAGCCUUAAAUUGACGUUUUGACGUCGAAAUCGAGCCUUGCCGGAUUCUGCAAAAUUCUGGAAUUUUUCCGACCACCGAAGCUUUCGAUCGGUAUAUCUCGAGCUACAGACCAUAUUUUUCUGUGAUUCUUGAACCAGUGAGUUCUUCUUGAGUUUCUCAACAACUCUUCAGAAGGAAUCGAAGCCUUAAAUUGACGUUUUUACGUCGAAUUGAAGCUCGCCGUUUUCUGCAGUUUCUCGCCGGAUUCUGGAAAAAUUCCGGCCACCUUCAACUGUUCUAGGUGAUUGACGGUUUGAGUUGGCGGACGAUUGUGAAUCGUAUUUUGAGCUGUUAAGAAGACGCAGCGGGAUUAGAGCGGGUAAUCCUACAGGACAGGAGAACCAGGACGGUGAUCGUGCGGUUAGAGCAAUGGUUAUAGUUUUACAGCAAUUGUAAUAGUGAGGUGAGUUAAGCUCAUUUGAGCCUUACAAUUUGAUUUGGUGGGAGUGUGCUGUAAUAAAUAACUUGAGGAUUUGGGUUAUUGUAAAUUUGAGAGUUGUGAAGUGUGGUUGUUUGUGAGAAAAAAAUUCAGGAUGUUAGUUGUAAUUUGUUAUUAUUCAUGUUUCGGAUUUGAAUUGAUUAUUCAAAAUUCGGGGCGUGACAGUUUGGUAUCAGAGCGUAAGGUACAUAUUUGGUGAUAAUCAGUACCUCCCGAGUGAUGGCCCGUCUGCAGCGGAUCCCCAUCAUAUACUCUUCGGUACUGGUAUAAUCAUUGGGUAUGU
Molecule: long non-coding RNA, 1237 nt
Organism: Rosa rugosa (rugosa rose)
Lineage: Eukaryota; Viridiplantae; Streptophyta; Magnoliopsida; Rosales; Rosaceae
Exons: 3
Source: RefSeq, a predicted model, not a curated record